RNAcentral lists this ribosomal RNA (421 nucleotides) under uncultured Mollicutes bacterium. RNAcentral's name for it is "bacterial SSU rRNA". It matches the Rfam family "Bacterial small subunit ribosomal RNA", at positions 966 to 1397 of the family's 1533-position model. The record is from RNAcentral. Lineage: Bacteria; Bacillati; Mycoplasmatota; Mollicutes.
UACCAACACAUUGACAUCCCUGGCAAAGCUAUAGAAAUAUAGUGGAGGUUAUCCAGGUGACAGGUGGUGCAUGGUUGUCGUCAGCUCGUGUCGUGAGAUGUUCGGUUAAGUCCGCUAACGAGCGCAACCCUUGUCAUUAGUUACUAACAUUAAGUUGAGAACUCUAAUGAGACUGCCGAUACUAAAUCGGAGGAAGGUGGGGAUGACGUCAAAUCAUCAUGCCCCUUACGUCUUGGGCAACAGGCGUGCUACAAUGGCUGGUACAAUGAGCUGCAAACCCGCGAGGGGGAGCCAAUCUAAAAAGCCAGUCGUAGUUCGGAUUGAAGUCUGCAACUCGACUUCAUGAAGCUGAAAUCGCUAGUAAUCCUGGAUCAGAAUGCCAGGGUGAAUACGUUCUCGGGUGUUGUUACACACCGCCCGU